UAAGCGGAGGAAAAGAAACUAACAAGGAUUCCCCUAGUAACUGCGAGUGAAGCGGGAAAAGCUCAAAUUUAAAAUCUGGUGGUCUUUGGCCAUCCGAGUUGUAAUUUAGAGAAGCGUCUUCCGCGCUGGACCGUGCACAAGUCUCCUGGAAUGGAGCGUCAUAGAGGGUGAGAAUCCCGUCUUUGGCACGGACACACCAGGGCUUUUGUGAUGCGCUCUCAAAGAGUCGAGUUGUUUGGGAAUGCAGCUCAAAAUGGGUGGUGAACUCCAUCUAAAGCUAAAUAUUGGCGAGAGACCGAUAGCGAACAAGUACCGUGAGGGAAAGAUGAAAAGCACUUUGGAAAGAGAGUGAAACAGUACGUGAAAUUGUUGAAAGGGAAACGCUUGAAGUCAGUCGCGUCGACCGAGACUCAGCCUUGCCUCGGCUUGGUGUACUUCUCGGCCUGACGGGUCAGCAUCAAUUUUGCCCCUUGGAUAAUGGCGAGGGAAAUGUGACACCUUUACGGUGUGUUAUAGUCCCUUGUCGCAUGCAAGGGUUGGGAUUGAGGAACUCAGCACGCGCCUUUGGGUGUCGGGGCNUUGCCCACGAUACGUGCUUAGGAUGNUGGCGUANUGNCUUUAAAC
Molecule: ribosomal RNA, 624 nt
Filed under: Russula sp. GAL15300
Lineage: Eukaryota; Fungi; Basidiomycota; Agaricomycetes; Russulales; Russulaceae
Description: LSU rRNA
Rfam family: Eukaryotic large subunit ribosomal RNA
Source: RNAcentral